Molecule: ribosomal RNA, 397 nt
Filed under: uncultured bacterium
Lineage: Bacteria
Description: partial 16S ribosomal RNA
Rfam family: Bacterial small subunit ribosomal RNA
Source: RNAcentral
CUACGUAGGUGGCAAGCGUUGUCCGGAUUUACUGGGUGUAAAGGGCGUGCAGCCGGGGAAGCAAGUCAGGUGUGAAAUGCAGAGGCUUAACCUCUGAAUUGCAUUUGAAACUGUUUUUCUUGAGUACUGGAGGGGCAAUCGGAAUUCCUAGUGUAGCGGUGAAAUGCGUAGAUAUUAGCCGGAACACCUGUGGAGAAGGCGGUUUCCUACUCUGGUACUGACGCUCAUGGACGAAAGCGUGGGGAGCGAUCGGGAUUAGAUACCCCGGUAGUCCACGCCGUAAACGAUGGGUGCUGGGUGUCGGUCCGGUAAAACGGAUCGGUGCCGAAGUUAACACGUUAAGCACCCCACCUGGGGACUACGGCCGCAAGGUUGAAACUCAAAGGAAUUGACGGGG